RNAcentral lists this long non-coding RNA (806 nucleotides) under Nicotiana benthamiana. RNAcentral describes it as "long non-coding RNA (NBEN_LNC042328)". The record is from RNAcentral. Lineage: Eukaryota; Viridiplantae; Streptophyta; Magnoliopsida; Solanales; Solanaceae.
GCGCGUAUUUUAAAUAUUAUCUCCCUAAACUCGGGUGCACAUUUAUGUGACCCAAAUCCAAAUCUCGUCGGGGUCAAAAUGUGUUGACGACUACGUGUGCACUGGUUGUGACGUGGCUCAAGAUGCGUUUUCACGACGUUGUAAUUCUCUGUAAAUAAUAAUAAAAGCGGUUCAAAGUUAAAAUGCACAUAAGUUCACAAUUGUAUAAAAUCAGAUUAAGCCGAAUAUGACAAUUGAGCGACCGUGAUAGAACCACGAAAUUCGAAAAUGCCUAACACCUUCUCCCGGGUUAACAGAAUUCCUUAUCUGGAUUUGUGGUUCGUGGACUGUAAUACAGAGUCAUUCUUUUCCUCGAUUCGUGAUUAGAUCGGUGACUUGGGACACCCUAAAUCUCCCAAGUGGCGACUCUGAAAAUAAUAAAUAAAUCCCGUUCUGAAUAUCCUUUAAUUGGAAAAACUCAUUUACCCUCGCGGGGGUGUAAAAAGGAAAAAGUUGAAUCCUAAAAUUUUCUCUCACAAACACGUUCAUGCCUUUCUCUCUCUAAAAAUCAGCUAUCAGCAGGGACUGGAUUUUCUUGAUUCAAGCCCGAUUUUCCUCUUUUUAGUUUUUACACAGACUAUUUCUCUUUCAUCCUCUUCUCCGCUCAAUCUCUCCUUUGUAUUCUUUCAUUGAAUUUCCAGUCAUUGUUUCAUGCAUUUAUUUUAUCUUUUUGUGGUAAGUGAUGUCAUGAAUACACAGAGCUAAGCACGACAUAGAUUUAUGAGAUGAUUAAUACUAAAAGAUUCCCAAAAUCCAUUCUCUAGAAU